UAGGGAAUAUUGGACAAUGGGUGAGAGCCUGAUCCAGCCAUGCCGCGUGCAGGAAGAAGGCGUUAUGCGUUGUAAACUGCUUUUUGCCAGGGGAUAAAAAGACCGUGCGCGGUUAAUUGAAGGUACCUGGUGAAUAAGCCACGGCUAACUACGUGCCAGCAGCCGCGGUAAUACGUAGGUGGCAAGCGUUGUCCGGAUUUAUUGGGUUUAAAGGGUGCGUAGGUGGCCCUGUAAGUCAGUGGUGAAAUAUCUCAGCUUAACUGAGAGGGUGCCAUUGAUACUGCAGGGCUUGAGUACAGAUGAGGUAGGCGGAAUUGACGGUGUAGCGGUGAAAUGCAUAGAUAUCGUCAAGAACACCGAUAGCGAAGGCAGCUUACCAAGCUGUAACUGACACUGAGGCACGAAAGUGUGGGGAGCAAACAGGAUUAGAUACCCCUGUAGUCCCUGAGCGGGCUGGCAAGGCGCAU
This 467-nucleotide ribosomal RNA is filed under the name uncultured bacterium. RNAcentral describes it as "bacterial SSU rRNA". It matches the Rfam family "Bacterial small subunit ribosomal RNA", at positions 355 to 825 of the family's 1533-position model. The record is from RNAcentral.